RNA transcript from Talpa occidentalis (Iberian mole), 2910 nucleotides. It is a transcript of the gene named IQ motif containing M, with no coding region annotated. The record is from RefSeq and is a predicted model, not a curated record. The transcript has 23 exons. Lineage: Eukaryota; Metazoa; Chordata; Mammalia; Eulipotyphla; Talpidae.
UGGCCGGAAGUGAGGGCCGCCGGCCCCGCCCACCGCACAGGUGGAACCGCUGUCUAGGGGCUGAAAUCCAGAAGAUGCGGGACUUGGAGCCCAACCUUCAGCAAAGAAGAUCACCCUGACUAUCCAUCAUGGCUGCUUCAGAAGCUGUGUCUAAAAAAUCAGAAUGUCCCACAUUAGAGAUCACCAGGCAAGAUUUUUUUCAAGAAGCACAAGCUCUCAUCGCCCAACAUAAUGAGAAAAUAAAUGAGGGUAAAAUUCAAGGUCCUUCCAUAAAUGUUUUUAGAAAUAAACACCAAAAACCAAAAUCUGGCAAAUUCUUACCUUUGGAGAUUAAAAAAAAGGAAAUGCUUGAUGUCAUCCAAGAAUUUCAGACAGCACACAAAAAUUUAUGUUUUCUCAAAGAGUCCAAAGAGCUUUCCAAAAAGGAACGUAUUGAGGAAUCUUCACGAAAAAUUUCUUUCAAGGAGCCAAGCAUUUUUAAUGUAAAAGAAAAAGGCAAAGAAUCUAUAGAUCAAAUUCUGAAAGAACAAGUUAAACUGGGUGAAAUACUAACUGAUAUUGAAGCAGUGAGUAAAAAAAUGGAGAAAGGAAAGCACCACCAUCUUUUGAAACCCAGAAUUUUGGACUCACAUUUAUCGCCCAGUUUACAAUCGAUCAAGAUCUGUUCCAGGCGACUUCUGAGGGGAAAGGACAGAGCAGUCUGCGACUGGAGAGGAAUUUCAUCAAGGUCUAGCCGCUCGACUCCUGACUCUGAUCGGUUAGCUUUCUCCAGAUCAUCAUCAGUGUUUCGGGAUAAAAGCUUUCUGAAAAGAGACCUGCAGCCUGACAAGCCAAUACUGAAGCCACGACCCAGGGGGAAAUCUGUUCCAAGUAAAGUUGAUAAAAUUGACAAUAAAGUUAAAAGGAUUGGGCCACACUUAGACAUCUUCCAAGUGUUCUGGGAAAAGAGCAAAGUACGUAUUAACAAAAAAACAGUCAAACUGAUCACCACCAUGCAGGCCUUCGUCAGAGGAUGGCUUGAACGCAAAAGAUUCCGAAGACUAAUGAUCAAGGUACAGUUUAUGGCUUUGUAUCAUGGACCAAAUUUGAAAGCAGUUAUAAAAAUGUAUUGCAAACUAAUUCAUCGUGUUAAACAUCGACUUGGUCUUUGGAGAACAAGACAAAUUAUAUGCUUACCAGAGCUCGAAGAAUGGAUGGAUAGAAAAAAAUACUAUGAAGUGAUGUUCGCUAAGAGAGAAGAAUGGCAAGGAAUAGAAAGAAACGAACUUCUCAAGUACUUCAAUGACUGUGGUCAUUUCCCAACUCAGGAGCAAAUCGACGAUAUUUUCCAUCUGGUCCACAGUGAAAAUCUUGAACAACUUCCUGAUAACAUCACAAAGCCCAAAGCAAUUGAAAUGUUAUUUACACUCUAUCCUCCUCAAGGAGCCCAUGUGCAUGAUAACACAAAACGACUUAAGUCAACUUGGCUGAGACCCAUAGUGAAUGGGGAAGAAGGGUACAAAUAUAUAGAGACAGAACUUAACACUAUUAGAUUGUGAGACAUGAGAUACGAAAUACAGCUCAUCUGCACUAUCAUACAGGAAAGACUAUGAGGGGGUGAAAUGUGCUUCUAGAUCUGAAAUAAAUAAUGAAGAAAGAAUAUAACAAGAGUGGAAGAUGGUGCGUUACAUAUGUCUAGCAUCUGUUGGCCAUACCAGUUCAGAGGAUUCUCUCAAGAGCUGCUCCUCAACACAGUGUGUGGUUAGCCAUCGACUUCUGGGGCAGCUUAUCUCCCCAGAUACAGAAAUGUAACUGCACUGAAGUCCGUCCUCCAGGGCAAGGAGCACAGCCUGAUCAAGGUCCAUGAUGCCCUGGCCUAUAUUCUGGAGAAUGUUAAAAUCUGUCUAUCCUGACUCUACAUGUGUAUGUGAAAUUUUAACUGAAAAAGGCACAACAGAAUGUUCUACCGAGGUGGAUACAAUGUUAUGAAGAUUGUGAAAUGCAGUAAGUGAGACAAACUGUAUGCUAGCAAGACUCUCCGUGACCUUCCAGCUUGGCUGACCUCAUCUUCCACUGACAUCUUCAGACAAACAAGUGUGACCUUCUGGUUCUAGAUUCAAGUUCUCUUAGUAAAGGAGGAUGACAUUCUCGCUAAUCAGUGAUAGCACUACUAUUCAAGACAGGAGAGGAAGGUGAAAGGAGAACAAGGCGAUUACAAGGGAGAACUAACUGAAUAGGUUAAAUUCAUCCAUGUUUGGCUCUGAGACCAGGCAAUCUUGGAUUUGAAUUCUGUUCUGCCACGGCAUCUUCCCUAACCAAUGAAGAAGCAGUUCGUGAAGAAGCUACUUGCAUGGAGAUGAUAACUGGCAAUUCCAGAAUCUGAAAUAAUGGGUUGGAAGUCAUUUUCUUUACAACAAAAUGGAGUCAACUGAAAUGAUAGUUCUGUCCAUAAGGCACAGAAUUGCCCAAACAGUCGGUGCUGGUUUUCCAACUAGCAUACACCAAGUACACCAUUCAUCAAAUCCUGGCUAGCGAGGCUGCUGUUUGCACAAGGAUGGCAACAUGAAGUUGGAAAGCUUUCACUAGAACUGUGGAAAAUUGAAAUGUCUGCCAGGGGACUAGGAGGAACUUGAUUCUUCUGAUUCCAAAUUCUGAUAUGUGUUAGAAAUUUGGUAAAGAUGACAUUAAAGAACAAGCUGCUGUGUCUGAAUAAGGUAGAGCCACCUGUUUGCAUCUCCACCUGUAAUGUAUGAGGAAUCCACUGAUCCACCGGCUCACCAGCAAUUGGUAAUGUCAGAUUUUUCUCCUUACCUUUGACAAUCAAGUAGGCACAUAUUGCACCAUGAGACUUUGAUUCAGAAAGAGCCUGGAAGUGCAUACAGAUCUGCAUGUUGCCUGAUGGUAUGAAGAAUUCCCUAUAAACUGUUCCUG